This 27-nucleotide non-coding RNA is filed under the name Rattus norvegicus (Norway rat). Lineage: Eukaryota; Metazoa; Chordata; Mammalia; Rodentia; Muridae. The record is from RNAcentral.
UGGGAGGUUUUUUUGCCCCUUUUUGCC